This 474-nucleotide ribosomal RNA is filed under the name uncultured bacterium. RNAcentral describes it as "partial 16S ribosomal RNA". It matches the Rfam family "Bacterial small subunit ribosomal RNA", at positions 28 to 507 of the family's 1533-position model. The record is from RNAcentral.
GAUGAACGCUAGCGGCAGGCCUAACACAUGCAAGUCGAGGGAGGAGCCUUCGGGCUUCGACCGGCGUACGGGUGCGUAACGCGUAUACAAUCUGCCUUUCACAUAGGGAUAGCCCGAAGAAAUUUGGAUUAAUACCUAAUGGUAUAUAGAUGUGGCAUCACCUUUAUAUUAAAGCUGAGGCGGUGAAAGAUGAGUAUGCGUUCUAUUAGCUAGUUGGAGAGGUAACGGCUCCCCAAGGCGACGAUAGAUAGGGGUUCUGAGAGGGAUAUCCCCCACACUGGUACUGAGAUACGGACCAGACUCCUACGGGAGGCAGCAGUGAGGAAUACUGGACAAUGGUCGGAAGACUGAUCCAGCCAUGCCGCGUGCAGGAAGACGGCCUUAUGGGUUGUAAACUGCUUUUGCAGGGGAAGAAUAAGGACUACGCGUAGUUUGAUGACGGUACUCUGCGAAUAAGCAUCGGCUAACUCCGUG